RNAcentral lists this small RNA (132 nucleotides) under Escherichia coli. RNAcentral describes it as "RtT sRNA". It matches the Rfam family "RtT RNA". From Rfam's summary of the family: This family represents a bacterial cis-regulatory element known as RtT RNA. The exact function of RtT is unknown although it is thought that it may be involved in changing the cellular response in relation to amino acid starvation. RNAcentral also lists the same sequence under 3 other names. The record is from RNAcentral. Lineage: Bacteria; Pseudomonadati; Pseudomonadota; Gammaproteobacteria; Enterobacterales; Enterobacteriaceae.
AUUCUGCCCAAGCGGGGAAGGAUGAGAAGCUUCGACUAAGGUUCGACUUGAGCGCCAGCGAGAGAGCGUUGCCGCAGGCAACGACCCGAAGGGCGAAGCGCGCAGCGCUGAGUAAUCCUUCCCCCACCACCA